This 646-nucleotide ribosomal RNA is filed under the name uncultured bacterium. RNAcentral describes it as "bacterial SSU rRNA". It matches the Rfam family "Bacterial small subunit ribosomal RNA", at positions 8 to 641 of the family's 1533-position model. The record is from RNAcentral.
AGAGUUUGAUCAUGGCUCAGGAUGAACGCUAGCGACAGGCUUAACACAUGCAAGUCGAGGGGCAGCGGGAGGAAAGCUUGCUUUUCUUGCCGGCGACCGGCGCACGGGUGAGUAACACGUAUGCAACCUGCCCAUGACAGGGGGAUAAGCGGGAGAAAUUCCGUCUAAUACCGCAUAACACCCCCGGGAGACAUCUCUCGGGAGUCAAAGGAGCGAUCCGGUCAUGGAUGGGCAUGCGGCGCAUUAGUUAGUUGGCGGGGUAACGGCCCACCAAGGCGACGAUGCGUAGGGGUUCUGAGAGGAAGGUCCCCCACACUGGUACUGAGACACGGACCAGACUCCUACGGGAGGCAGCAGUGAGGAAUAUUGGUCAAUGGGCGAGAGCCUGAACCAGCCAAGUCGCGUGAGGGAAGACGGUCCUACGGAUUGUAAACCUCUUUUGUCGGGGAGCAAUAAGGCGUACGUGUACGCAGAUGCGAGUACCCGAAGAAAAAGCAUCGGCUAACUCCGUGCCAGCAGCCGCGGUAAUACGGAGGAUGCGAGCGUUAUCCGGAUUUAUUGGGUUUAAAGGGUGCGCAGGCGGAAAGUGCAAGUCAGCGGUCAAACGACGGGGCUCAACCCCGUCUCGCCGUUGAAACUGUCUUUC